GUACCUAAUACUAUUAAUAUCAUUCCUGGACAGCUGGGUGAGCAAAUCGAACGCACCGUCUCUACAACCUGCAAUAAUCUGUGUACGGGGCUCCGCACCCUACGUGAUGUUCCUAAAGUGAGUAUCUUUUCUUAGCUGUUUUAGUCAAUAUGUUGUUAUCCCGCAUUUAGGCAGUUAUUUAUUUAGGCCUGUGUUUGAUACUUUGUUGCAACGGGUAGCUAUCUGCUGACGUGUCACUCCAUUUACAAACUUUUAUCCUCAUCCUGUUACGACACGUUGUUUUGUUGUGCUAAUAUGUAGCCGUAAACUCAUUGGUGUCUGUAGGAGCUGCAGCCCUGCACACAUAUCAGGACACUUUUCAAGAACAGCUGAGAGGUGUAGGCUACUACUAAGCGAGAGGUCAGCUAUGGAUACUCGGCUGUGAGAAUUUUUGAUGGAGCGAAACUUGAAGAUGAGAAUAUUGAUGAAACUGUCAUUCCGUUAAUGACAGACAGUGACCUGGCAAAGUACAUCCCCAAAGUUGGAGAUAGAUUCUCCACUGUGGCUUUCUGCUGACAAGAAUCACUUACACAAAACUCACAAUCCAGGAAAGAAUCCAUACUCUCAAGGCUACGACAAAGACUGUCUGGAGCUGAGGGGAUGCCACCAAAAAAGAGAACAUCUAAGUGGGCAGGAAAUACAAAUGCCAAACGGAAGGUGAGACGAACUGAGGUUGGCUGGAUGGAUUUUUAUGAGGAGGAGCAGAGGUUCAAACAGGUGAAGUCUGUAAGUGGUGGAGGGACGAGGCAUCUCUCGAUUGACAAAGACGAAACAGUGGCAAAUAUCAAACUUAUGGCUGAAAAUCUUUUUUUCCCCAAAGGCCUUUCAAAAAAAAGCAGAAGUCUUUCACACUUCAACUCAUAUUGAGAGCUCACAGAUACAUGUUGAUAUGUCCAAUACAGUAGACCAGUUGUAUAAUCAAAGCAAGGUCAAAAUUCUGCGACUUUAUCUGUGCACCAAAAAGAAAACAGGACAGCAGCCCUCAGGAGUUGAGGUGAUCACACAUCAAGCCAGCCUUCAGUGGUAGAUCUCACUAACAAUGAACAGAAUCAGGCUGGUGAGGAUCUGUUGGUAGAAAACAGAAAUUCAGAAUCAUCAAACCACUAUGGAAUUAAUGAUGGAGCUUCCAGAAGUGAAGAUUUGGAACUGAACGACAUAUUACCAUGGGAUGGUCUGCCAACUGUGGGCGAAAGUGAAGAUUCUGAAGUUUUUAUUAUAAGUGGGGAUGACAGGCUGGAUGUAAGUGUGGAUGAACCAAACCUUGAAACACUCUUUCCAGAAAAAGAGGAUGAUGCACCUCAUCAAACUGUGGAUCUGUCAGCGGUGCAUGCAGGGGAGGCCAAUGUUCCAGCCCAAGCACUUCCUGAACCACAAUCUUGUCCUGUAACGCUGAUUGUAAGAAGAGGACACUGUCUCGCUGACUUGAUCAGUGCCUUCAAGGACCUAAACAUUAUUGCAUCUGAGGUCAACAUCAAAAUGCGUUUACCAAAUGGAGAGCUUGAAAAGGGGGAAGGAAGUGGUGUUUUGCGAGACUGCCUGACAGAAUUUUGGAUGGAUUUCUAUGACAGCUGCACACUGGGAGUUGAGGUGAAAGUCCCCUUCAUCAGGCAUGACUUUCAGUGUGAAGAAUGGCAGGCUGUAGCUCGAGUGUUUGUAGUAGGGUGGAAACAAGCUGGUUACUUCCCAGUGAAGCUUGCAGUGCCAUUUCUGGAAGAGGUGCUGUAUGGCUCGACAGCCAGUAGUUUCAAGGAUUCCUUUUUGCUGUACGUAUCACAAGAAGAAAGAUCUGUCCUUCAGAAGGCUUUGGAGGACUUCAAUUCAGUGGACACAGAUGAAUUGCUGGAUGUACUCGAUGCACAUGAAUGCAAGCAAGUCCCUACCAAGGACACACUGCUCCCUGUUUUGUCACAGAUUGGACACAAAGUAAUCGUUCAGGCCCCAAUGUUUGUAAUUAAGUGCUGGCGUCCUGUUGUGGGUUCUAUGACUGGUUUACUACCACCAGAAGGACUGCAUCAUUUCAUUACACAAAAAAAAACCCAACUGCAAAAACAGUGAAGGAGCUUCUAAACUUUCCAGAGGAGAUGACAGCAGCCCAGUCAACAGUUUCUCAUUACCUGAAAAGGUACAUUGGGGAAAUUGAUAGCAACAAGCUUCAGCUUUUCCUGCGGUUUUGUACAGGAUCUGAUCUGUUGGAUAAGGCUAUACUAAUUGAGUUCAUAGAAACCACAGAUUUUCUCCGUAGACCACAAUACCACACAUGUGGAUGUGUACUAAAGCUGCCCAUUGGUUACUACAGCUAUCCAGAUUUCCACAGCGAAUUUAACAGCAUUCUCACAAGCUCAAUGUAGGUAAUGGAUGUGGUGUAGGUAAUAAUACAAACAAUAGCAUGAAGGAUGUGACAGCUCCUUGCUAGACUGGAUGUUUUUGUUAUGUAGCCCGUUGUUCCUUUUGUAUGUGCAGCAUUUUAAUUCAUCUGCUUUUAAAGUGGUCGAUUUGUUCUUUCCCAGUCAAAUGGUAAGCUUAAAGGGAUAGUUCAGUGGGGCUGUAGGAGAUACGUUUGCUUAGUCAGUGUAUUACCUGUAGUAGACAGCACUCAGCACUCUCCAGGUUUGUAGAAGCAGGGGGGAGUGCUGGGACAGAAGCAGAGCAAUACAUUGCUGGGCAUGGGGACAGCAACACAGCAACAAACAUAUUUUAGUCACCUAAAACAAGUCCCACCUCAAAAGAAUACACCAGGUUACCUGUACACUGUAUUAGGAAUAUUUUCAGUGCUUCACCUGGUGGGAAAACUGUUGUUUCCUUUGACACUAACCAUAAAACUCCCAUAUGUCUACGCCUAAAGUGCAUCUGUGCCUGAUGCACACUGUAUUACUCCGGUUAGUGCCAAAAGAAACGACUACUUUAUGAGCAGUCGUACAGCUCCACUUCAAAUACCAAAAGCCAAUUGAUUAAGCAUGUUUUAUAUUAUUAUUACAGUUGCUUGUAGCAACCCCAGUAGAAACAAGAAUGUGAGCCUUAGCUGAUGUUUCAAAGGUGUUGAAAAAUAAUUCAGUUGUUUACAGAAGUUGUUUACACUUUAAAGAAGUUUAAAUAACAUUAUUUUGUACCUAUCACUAUGAUACUGGCUAACGGGGGGUUUGAAAACUGUUCUUAUCCUGUUAUGUGCAAAAUACAACCUGUUAUAUUUUUGACUAGGGUGUAUUUU
Molecule: long non-coding RNA, 3244 nt
Organism: Amphiprion ocellaris (clown anemonefish)
Lineage: Eukaryota; Metazoa; Chordata; Actinopteri; Pomacentridae
Exons: 3
Source: RefSeq, a predicted model, not a curated record